UUCGGUUCGGAUAAUUGUGGUUACUAACGGUUCAGUUCGGUUAAUGAAUUGUUAUCAAAAUAAUGGUUCGGUUCAAGAAUUGGUUAAAUGGUUCAGUUAAUUCUGAUACG
Molecule: microRNA precursor, 110 nt
Filed under: Medicago truncatula (barrel medic)
Lineage: Eukaryota; Viridiplantae; Streptophyta; Magnoliopsida; Fabales; Fabaceae
Description: miR5271a stem-loop (mtr-MIR5271a, mtr-MIR5271b)
Rfam family: MIR5271 microRNA precursor family (bases 1-78)
Source: miRBase by way of RNAcentral